GAUGAACGCUGGCGGCGUGCCUAAUACAUGCAAGUCGAGCGGACGGACGAGAAGCUUGCUUCUCUGAUGUUAGCGGCGGACGGGUGAGUAACACGUGGAUAACCUACCUAUAAGACUGGGAUAACUUCGGGAAACCGGAGCUAAUACCGGAUAAUAUUUUGAACCGCAUGGUUCAAAAGUGAAAGACGGUCUUGCUGUCACUUAUAGAUGGAUCCGCGCUGCAUUAGCUAGUUGGUAAGGUAACGGCUUACCAAGGCAACGAUGCAUAGCCGACCUGAGAGGGUGAUCGGCCACACUGGAACUGAGACACGGUCCAGACUCCUACGGGAGGCAGCAGUAGGGAAUCUUCCGCAAUGGGCGAAAGCCUGACGGAGCAACGCCGCGUGAGAGAUGAAGGUCUUCGGAUCGUAAAACUCUGUUAUUAGGGAAGAACAUAUGUGUAAGUAACUGUGCACAUCUUGACGGUACCUAAUCAGAAAGCCACGGCUAACUACGUG
Molecule: ribosomal RNA, 497 nt
Filed under: uncultured bacterium
Lineage: Bacteria
Description: partial 16S ribosomal RNA
Rfam family: Bacterial small subunit ribosomal RNA
Source: RNAcentral